RNAcentral lists this ribosomal RNA (373 nucleotides) under uncultured organism. RNAcentral describes it as "partial 16S ribosomal RNA". It matches the Rfam family "Bacterial small subunit ribosomal RNA", at positions 527 to 896 of the family's 1533-position model. The record is from RNAcentral.
GUAGGUGGCAAGCGUUGUCCGGAAUUAUUGGGCGUAAAGCGCGCGCAGGCGGUUCUUUAAGUCUGAUGUGAAAGCCCACGGCUCAACCGUGGAGGGUCAUUGGAAACUGGAGAACUUGAGUACAGAAGAGGAAAGCGGAAUUCCACGUGUAGCGGUGAAAUGCGUAGAGAUGUGGAGGAACACCAGUGGCGAAGGCGGCUUUCUGGUCUGUAACUGACGCUGAGGCGCGAAAGCGUGGGGAGCAAACAGGAUUAGAUACCCUGGUAGUCCACGCCGUAAACGAUGAGUGCUAAGUGUUAGGGGGGUUCCCGCCCCCCUUAGUGCUGCAGCUAACGCAUUAAGCACUCCGCCUGGGAGUACGGCCGCAAGGCUG